CCUCGGUGGACAGCAGGAGAAAGCUAAUAGACCAGUCCCGGGCUCCCCACCCGCAGAGGUGGUUUAGAGGGACAUGGAUCAUUCCAAGAGAAAGGAGGACCAGACCCGGUCCUGGCUUCAGGAUAGCCUCACUGGGUUGCAGAGACACAUGCCAGUGGACCCAGCUGCCUGCCCUUCCUCAGCACCCCCAGCACUUCCUACAAGCCUAGCUCUGCCCAUGCUGCUUCCUGAGCCCACAGAGCCCAUCCCAUGCCCUUCUAGAAGCCAACACUCCUCAUCUGUUCAGUGACUGGCUGACUAUCUGCCUUGGUCUGAGCUUAUUCCAGGACCCAACUCCCUUACUCCCAUGGAGAGGCCUGGCUGUAUGGACACUUCCAAAAGACCACCUUGGCCUUCGAUGCACUUGAAGCCAUGGAGAAAGAGAGAAGCUGCCAGUGAGCGGGCAGCACUGACCCCUGGCUGGCCUGGGAGGACACACUGUUGGCUUCCUGGCUGUGGCAAUAAUCGGUGCCUGGGUGCUUCCUCCCAAGCUGGCUGUCCCAAGCAGGAAGACCACAGGGCAGGUUCCUCCCAAGGGCCACACUGCCUGGCCAAUGAAGUAAUGCUGGCACAAUGCCCUUUCAGAGUUGCAAAAGAAUGAUAACCUUUGAUUGCCCAAGAUGGUCAACAGCCACUCCUGGGCUCUGCUACUGGCAAAAUAUGAGCAAUUCAUUUAUUCAACAAGAAGUUUAUUGAGCACCUAUUAUUUCCAGGCACUUUCCAAAUGGUACAAAGGCAAAAUCCCUGCUCUCAAGGAGCUUCCAUUCUCUUCAGAAGGAGACAAGCAACACAGAAUAUAAUACAAAAAAGUAUAGUAUAGAAGACUGCAAUAAAUUGCACGGAUGAAAAAAUAAAUCAAAAAGAGCACAAUGUUCCUCACCUCCACCGCAGCUCAAAAGAAGGUGACCUUUGAGACCUGAAGGAGGUGAUGGAGGGAGCCAUGAUAAUACCUAGGGGAAGAGCAUUCCAGCAAAGGACACAGCACAGGCAAAGGUCCUGAGGCAGGAUGCAUCUGACACUUUUGGGGACAGGCAGGAGGGUAGUGUGGUUGGAGGUGGAAGGACAGAAGCUAGCCAUUGCCCUUGGCCCUGGGCACCACCCUGUGAAACGAAGCCUCUUCCCUCAUUGUACAGAUUAUAAAAUUGAGGUCCCGAAAGGUCACACAGGCUACACAUGGCAGAUUCAAGCCAGACUUAUUCAAGCAUGAAGCCCAAGUUCUCCACACUCUGCUUCACUCCCAGCCUGGUCAGGAUCCCAGCGAGGAGAUCCAGCCACAGACCUCAAGGGAGGGGAGCAAAGUCAGGACACCCGC
RNAcentral lists this long non-coding RNA (1351 nucleotides) under Heterocephalus glaber (naked mole-rat). RNAcentral's name for it is "lncRNA (ENSHGLG00000035760.1)". Lineage: Eukaryota; Metazoa; Chordata; Mammalia; Rodentia; Bathyergidae. The record is from RNAcentral.